UCCCAUGUGGCUCAGUUGGUAGAGCAUGGCCCUUGCAACGGCAAGGUUAUGGGUUUGACUCCCAUGGGGGAC
Molecule: non-coding RNA, 72 nt
Organism: Salmo salar (Atlantic salmon)
Lineage: Eukaryota; Metazoa; Chordata; Actinopteri; Salmoniformes; Salmonidae
Source: Rfam